GGUUGAGUGUCCGAGUGGUCGAUGGUGUAACCUUGGAAAGGUUAUGUAGUUAAUUCUACCAGGGGUUCGAAUCCCCUCUCAACCUCCA
This 88-nucleotide transfer RNA is filed under the name Sulfurospirillum sp. RNAcentral describes it as "tRNA-Ser". It matches the Rfam family "tRNA". From Rfam's summary of the family: Transfer RNA (tRNA) molecules are approximately 80 nucleotides in length. Lineage: Bacteria; Pseudomonadati; Campylobacterota; Epsilonproteobacteria; Campylobacterales; Sulfurospirillaceae. The record is from RNAcentral.